RNAcentral lists this ribosomal RNA (253 nucleotides) under uncultured bacterium. RNAcentral's name for it is "partial 16S ribosomal RNA". It matches the Rfam family "Bacterial small subunit ribosomal RNA", at positions 524 to 776 of the family's 1533-position model. The record is from RNAcentral.
UACGAAGGGAGCUAGCGUUGUUCAGAAUCACUGGGCGUAAAGCGCACGUAGGCGGAUGUGUCAGUCAGGGGUGAAAUCCCGGAGCUCAACUUCGGAACUGCCUUUGAUACUGCGGGUCUCGAGUCCGGGAGAGGUGAGUGGAAUUCCUAGUGUAGAGGUGAAAUUCGUAGAUAUUAGGAAGAACACCAGUGGCGAAGGCGGCUCACUGGCCCGGUACUGACGCUGAGGCGCGAAAGCGUGGGGAGCAAACAGG